Molecule: ribosomal RNA, 312 nt
Filed under: Triticum aestivum (bread wheat)
Lineage: Eukaryota; Viridiplantae; Streptophyta; Magnoliopsida; Poales; Poaceae
Description: partial small subunit ribosomal RNA
Source: RNAcentral
AUGUUUGAUUUUGACACGGUUCUCCGAAGGAGUGGGGAACAUGUUCAAGGUGGUGUCCAUUUGUUUCAUAAGGUUCUGACAGUACAUCCUCGGAAGGGAUAUGGUUAUAUUAAAACAUACUACUCUGUCUCAAAAUAUUCAGUUACAGCUGCAGCCGACCUAUUGCCUGCACUGCAUCUAGACGAAACGCGCUCUAUGGUUCGCUGGACUCUCAGCAUCAACCAAUGUCGGUUGGCUGGACAGCUUCUUGGAGCAUCCACCGCUAUGUGCUGCAUUUCUCCUGUCGAUGACAAAAACUGGGGGUCCGCCUGA